ACGUACACUCCUGCGGGAGGCAGCAGUGGGGAAUAUUGGACAAUGGGCGCAAGCCUGAUCCAGCCAUGCCGCGUGAGUGAUGAAGGCCCUAGGGUUGUAAAGCUCUUUCACCGGUGAAGAUAAUGACGGUAACCGGAGAAGAAGCCCCGGCUAACUUCGUGCCAGCAGCCGCGGUAAUACGAAGGGGGCUAGCGUUGUUCGGAUUUACUGGGCGUAAAGCGCACGUAGGCGGACUAUUAAGUCAGGGGUGAAAUCCCGGGGGUCAACCCCGGAACUGCCUUUGAUACUGGUAGUCUUGAGUUCGAGAGAGGUGAGUGGAAUUCCGAGUGUAGAGGUGAAAUUCGUAGAUAUUCGGAGGAACACCAGUGGCGAAGGCGGCUCACUGGCUCGAUACUGACGCUGAGGUGCGAAAGCGUGGGGAGCAAACAGGAUUAGAAACCCUGGUAGUCCCAUGA
Molecule: ribosomal RNA, 455 nt
Filed under: uncultured organism
Description: partial 16S ribosomal RNA
Rfam family: Bacterial small subunit ribosomal RNA
Source: RNAcentral